GAUGAACGCUGGCGGCGUGCCUAAUACAUGCAAGUCGAGCGAACAGACGAGGAGCUUGCUCCUUCGACGUUAGCGGCGGACGGGUGAGUAACACGUAGGUAACCUACCUAUAAGACUGGGAUAACUUCGGGAAACCGGAGCUAAUACCGGAUAAUAUUUCGAACCGCAUGGUUCGAUAGUGAAAGAUGGCUUUGCUAUCACUUAUAGAUGGACCUGCGCCGUAUUAGCUAGUUGGUAAGGUAACGGCUUACCAAGGCAACGAUACGUAGCCGACCUGAGAGGGUGGACGGCCACACUGGAACUGAGACACGGUCCAGACUCCUACGGGAGGCAACGGUAGGGAAUCUUCCGCGAUGGGCGAAAGCCGGACGGAGCAACGCCGCGGGAGUGAUGAAGGUCUUCGGAUCGCAAAACUCUGUUAUUAGGGAAGAACAAACGUGUAAGUAACUGUGCACGUCUUGACGGUACCUAAUCAGAAAGCCACGGCUAACUACGUG
This 497-nucleotide ribosomal RNA is filed under the name uncultured bacterium. RNAcentral's name for it is "partial 16S ribosomal RNA". It matches the Rfam family "Bacterial small subunit ribosomal RNA", at positions 28 to 507 of the family's 1533-position model. The record is from RNAcentral.